Molecule: long non-coding RNA, 259 nt
Filed under: Phoenix dactylifera (date palm)
Lineage: Eukaryota; Viridiplantae; Streptophyta; Magnoliopsida; Arecales; Arecaceae
Description: long non-coding RNA (PDAC_LNC009883)
Source: RNAcentral
CAUCAAAGAGUUCAACGACUUCAAGUCAAAGAUGGGUAUUAGAUACUGUGCCGAUUGGCUUUAGGCUAAGUGGGAGUUGUUGGAAAUUGUACCCUAAGAGUCAAUCGUCAGCAUGUUGAUGAUUGAUUUUGUAAAUGAAUUGACAAAUUAAUAAAGUAUUAUUUUGGCAUUAUUCAUCAUUUUUUUGUACAUCUUUAAAUGAACUCUUGUAGUAUGAUGAAGUCCUUAGGAUUCUUUUAUGAUAAAGGAGGAUUUAUCU